GACGAACGCUGGCGGCGUGCUUAACACAUGCAAGUCGAACGAGGUCCUACCAGUGGCAACACUGGGAACGACCGAGUGGCGAACGGGUGAGUAACACGUGAGGAACCUGCCCCGAAGACCGGGAUAACCCUCCGAAAGGAGAGCUAAUACCGGAUGCCCUCUUCUGAUCGCAUGGUCGGAUGAGGAAAGGUUUUCUGCUUCGGGGAGGGCCUCGCGGCCUAUCAGCUUGUUGGUGAGGUAACGCUCACCAAGGCUACGACGGGUAGCUGGUCUGAGAGGACGAUCAGCCACACUGGGACUGAGACACGGCCCAGACUCCUACGGGAGGCUG
RNAcentral lists this ribosomal RNA (331 nucleotides) under uncultured Actinomycetes bacterium. RNAcentral describes it as "bacterial SSU rRNA". It matches the Rfam family "Bacterial small subunit ribosomal RNA", at positions 28 to 351 of the family's 1533-position model. Lineage: Bacteria; Bacillati; Actinomycetota; Actinomycetes. The record is from RNAcentral.